This 508-nucleotide ribosomal RNA is filed under the name uncultured bacterium. RNAcentral's name for it is "bacterial SSU rRNA". It matches the Rfam family "Bacterial small subunit ribosomal RNA", at positions 32 to 516 of the family's 1533-position model. The record is from RNAcentral.
AAUCAACGCUGGCGGCGUGCCUCAGACAUGCAAGUCGAACGCGAAAGGCCCCUUCGGGGGCCCGGUAGAGUGGCGCACGGGUGAGUAACACGUAGGUAAUUUGCCUUCGGGUGGGGAAUAACAGCCGGAAACGGCUGCUAAUACCGCAUAAUGCAGCGGCUCGACAUCGAGACAGUUGUUAAAGCGGGGGAUCGCAAGACCUCGCGCCUGAAGAGAAGCCUGCGGCAGAUAGCUUGUUGGUGAGGUAAUGGCUCACCAAGGCGACGAUCUGUAACCGGCCUGAGAGGGCGGUCGGUCACACUGACACUGACAUACGGGUCAGACUCCUACGGGAGGCAGCAGUCGGGAAUUUUGGGCAAUGGGCGAAAGCCUGACCCAGCAACGCCGCGUGAAGGAUGAAAUCUCUCGGGAUGUAAACUUCGCAAGAACGGGAGAAUAAGUUUGGGAUAAUACCCCGAAUGAUGACGGUACCGUUUGUAAGCUCCGGCUAACUCCGUGCCAGCACGCC